RNAcentral lists this ribosomal RNA (253 nucleotides) under uncultured prokaryote. Its description in RNAcentral is "partial 16S ribosomal RNA". It matches the Rfam family "Bacterial small subunit ribosomal RNA", at positions 525 to 777 of the family's 1533-position model. The record is from RNAcentral.
ACGGAGGGUGCAAGCGUUAUCCGGAUUCACUGGGUUUAAAGGGUGCGUAGGUGGACAUUUAAGUCAGUGGUGAACUCUUUGGGCUUAACCCGAAAACUGCCAUUGAUACUAUUUGUCUUGAAUUCUCUGGAGGUAAGCGGAAUAUGUCAUGUAGCGGUGAAAUGCUUAGAUAUGACACAGAACACCCAUUGCGAAGGCAGCUUACUACGGAGACAUUGACACUGAGGCACGAAAGCGUGGGGAUCAAACAGGA